This is a microRNA precursor of Hucho hucho (huchen), 62 nucleotides long. The record is from Ensembl. Lineage: Eukaryota; Metazoa; Chordata; Actinopteri; Salmoniformes; Salmonidae.
UGUAAACAUCCUACACUCAGCUGUGAGUUGGCAGCAGAGGCUGGGAGAAGGCUGUUUACUUU